This 215-nucleotide ribosomal RNA is filed under the name uncultured Staphylococcus sp. RNAcentral's name for it is "partial 16S ribosomal RNA". It matches the Rfam family "Bacterial small subunit ribosomal RNA", at positions 125 to 334 of the family's 1533-position model. Lineage: Bacteria; Bacillati; Bacillota; Bacilli; Caryophanales; Staphylococcaceae. The record is from RNAcentral.
CCUACCUAUAAGACUGGGAUAACUUCGGGAAACCGGAGCUAAUACCGGAUAAUAUAUUGAACCGCAUGGUUCAAUAGUGAAAGACGGUUUUGCUGUCACUUAUAGAUGGAUCCGCGCCGCAUUAGCUAGUCGGUAAGGUAACGGCUUACCAAGGCAACGAUGCGUAGCCGACCUGAGAGGGUGAUCGGCCACACUGGAACUGAGACACGGUCCAG